RNAcentral lists this ribosomal RNA (499 nucleotides) under uncultured bacterium. Its description in RNAcentral is "bacterial SSU rRNA". It matches the Rfam family "Bacterial small subunit ribosomal RNA", at positions 29 to 506 of the family's 1533-position model. The record is from RNAcentral.
AGUGAACGCUGGCGGCAGGCCUAACACAUGCAAGUCGAGCGGCAGCGCGUCCGACCACCCUCGGGUGGUCGGAUGGCGGCGAGCGGCGGACGGGUGAGGAAUGCAUCGGAAUCUGCCUCGUUGUGGGGGAUAACGUAGGGAAACUUACGCUAAUACCGCAUACGACCUACGGGUGAAAGUGGGGGACCUUCGGGCCUCACGCGAUGAGAUGAGCCGAUGCCGGAUUAGCUAGUUGGCGGGGUAAAGGCCCACCAAGGCGACGAUCCGUAGCUGGUCUGAGAGGAUGAUCAGCCACACUGGAACUGAGACACGGUCCAGACUCCUACGGGAGGCAGCAGUGGGGAAUUUUGGACAAUGGGCGCAAGCCUGAUCCAGCCAUGCCGCGUGCAGGAUGAAGGCCUUCGGGUUGUAAACUGCUUUUGUACGGAACGAAAAGACUACUCUCUAAUAAAGGGGGUAGAAUGACGGUACCGUAAGAAUAAGCACCGGCUAACUACGU